This is a non-coding RNA of Pelobates cultripes (western spadefoot toad), 233 nucleotides long. Lineage: Eukaryota; Metazoa; Chordata; Amphibia; Anura; Pelobatidae. The record is from the annotation of a GenBank genome assembly.
GGGAGGGAGUGACUAGUGACAGAGGGAGGGAGUGACUAGUGACAGAGGGAGGUAGUGACUAGUGACUGAGGGAGGGGGUGACAACAACAUAGGUCACCCCAUCCAUCUCUCUGUCACUGUGUCACCCGCUCCCUCACUAGUCACCCCCUCACUCACUCUGUCACUAAUCACCCACUCACUCACUCUGUCACUAAUCACCCCCUCACUCACUCUGUCCCUAGUCACCCCCUUCC